CCCAUUGACUCUAAUGGUUGACAUGCUUCAUUCCCUCCCUUUCACAGCCUCUACCUUACCACCAAGAGAGUGGAGGACAUCGUCCUGAGGCUCGUCUCCUUGCGCCAGGCCUUCACUGUGAGUGGACCCACUGUUCUUUUUGUCUCUGUGACUUCUUGUUCUGUCUCCAAGAGGAAGAGGUCUCACCCUAACUCUUCCCUAGACCCUGCUUGGUUCCACCCUGAGCAGGAACCAUCUGUUUGUGGCAGGAAAGGCCCUCCUGGGCGGCCUUGUUCAGGCCAACCACAUGGUAACUCACUAACUCAUUCUCUUUCAAGGGAAAGAGAGCGUCCCUGAGGGGAAAUGUGUUCUGUUCACUAAGAUGCUCUUUUCUUUGUCAUAGGACGAGGCCAAAUUCAUCCGUACCUAUAACGACUUUGUGGACUACCUGAGUGACCCCUCCAAGCGGAAUGACAUUGAGAGGGAGCUGGCUGAGGCAAAGAUCCAUCAUGUGAACAUGAUAGAUGUCCUCUUUGAGCUGGUGCUGUUUGGGAUGAUGACAGCUCAGAAGUCCCUGAUGGUGCACCCUGGUGGGUUCGUGGAGCGUCUGUACGCUCUCCUGUCCUCCUUCCUGCCCACUGCUGCCAACAUGGAGCCAGAGGCUGAUAGAAUCCUACUGCUGCUCAAUGUAAGAGUCAAGAGGUUACUUCCUGUUUACUUCCAUAUUCUUAGUGUACUUCCUUUUGACUUCCUUAUUCAUGGUUAACCAGCUUUCAGUAUUUCUAAUUGUCUCUCUCCUCUUGAUAAGCUAGUAACUCAGAGCCAUUUUCUAUGUGUUGUGUGGUGUUCUCUUCAGGGCGGACUGAUGGCUCUGCUAGAUGACAUGUUUGGCCAGCAGCUGGCCUGGUAUUUUAACUCCGAGUCUCUGGUCACUGAGCUCUCCAUCCUCCUGGAGUACCACUUGGAGAACCUCAUGGCCAGCAUGUAGUCCUACUGCAGGGACCAUACUCCUUUCUCCUUCUCUCUCUCUUAUGAAGGAAUUGAGGACUUGAAGUGCUUUGUUGAACCCUGAUUAGUUAACACCCAUUAAUUUAAUGUAUUCUCUUGUUUUCUCUCCCCACAGGAUUAUUGUGACACUUUGCCACCCAACAGGGAUCUAGACACCAAUGCACUACAUUACUUUGCACUGAAUUUGAC
RNAcentral lists this long non-coding RNA (1176 nucleotides) under Oncorhynchus kisutch (coho salmon). RNAcentral describes it as "lncRNA (ENSOKIG00005007730.1)". The record is from RNAcentral. Lineage: Eukaryota; Metazoa; Chordata; Actinopteri; Salmoniformes; Salmonidae.